RNAcentral lists this ribosomal RNA (1552 nucleotides) under Escherichia coli. Its description in RNAcentral is "bacterial SSU rRNA". It matches the Rfam family "Bacterial small subunit ribosomal RNA". RNAcentral also lists the same sequence under 2 other names. Lineage: Bacteria; Pseudomonadati; Pseudomonadota; Gammaproteobacteria; Enterobacterales; Enterobacteriaceae. The record is from RNAcentral.
AAAUUGAAGAGUUUGAUCAUGGCUCAGAUUGAACGCUGGCGGCAGGCCUAACACAUGCAAGUCGAACGGUAACAGGAAACAGCUUGCUGUUUCGCUGACGAGUGGCGGACGGGUGAGUAAUGUCUGGGAAACUGCCUGAUGGAGGGGGAUAACUACUGGAAACGGUAGCUAAUACCGCAUAACGUCGCAAGACCAAAGAGGGGGACCUUCGGGCCUCUUGCCAUCGGAUGUGCCCAGAUGGGAUUAGCUAGUAGGUGGGGUAACGGCUCACCUAGGCGACGAUCCCUAGCUGGUCUGAGAGGAUGACCAGCCACACUGGAACUGAGACACGGUCCAGACUCCUACGGGAGGCAGCAGUGGGGAAUAUUGCACAAUGGGCGCAAGCCUGAUGCAGCCAUGCCGCGUGUAUGAAGAAGGCCUUCGGGUUGUAAAGUACUUUCAGCGGGGAGGAAGGGAGUAAAGUUAAUACCUUUGCUCAUUGACGUUACCCGCAGAAGAAGCACCGGCUAACUCCGUGCCAGCAGCCGCGGUAAUACGGAGGGUGCAAGCGUUAAUCGGAAUUACUGGGCGUAAAGCGCACGCAGGCGGUUUGUUAAGUCAGAUGUGAAAUCCCCGGGCUCAACCUGGGAACUGCAUCUGAUACUGGCAAGCUUGAGUCUCGUAGAGGGGGGUAGAAUUCCAGGUGUAGCGGUGAAAUGCGUAGAGAUCUGGAGGAAUACCGGUGGCGAAGGCGGCCCCCUGGACGAAGACUGACGCUCAGGUGCGAAAGCGUGGGGAGCAAACAGGAUUAGAUACCCUGGUAGUCCACGCCGUAAACGAUGUCGACUUGGAGGUUGUGCCCUUGAGGCGUGGCUUCCGGAGCUAACGCGUUAAGUCGACCGCCUGGGGAGUACGGCCGCAAGGUUAAAACUCAAAUGAAUUGACGGGGGCCCGCACAAGCGGUGGAGCAUGUGGUUUAAUUCGAUGCAACGCGAAGAACCUUACCUGGUCUUGACAUCCACGGAAGUUUUCAGAGAUGAGAAUGUGCCUUCGGGAACCGUGAGACAGGUGCUGCAUGGCUGUCGUCAGCUCGUGUUGUGAAAUGUUGGGUUAAGUCCCGCAACGAGCGCAACCCUUAUCCUUUGUUGCCAGCGGUCCGGCCGGGAACUCAAAGGAGACUGCCAGUGAUAAACUGGAGGAAGGUGGGGAUGACGUCAAGUCAUCAUGGCCCUUACGACCAGGGCUACACACGUGCUACAAUGGCGCAUACAAAGAGAAGCGACCUCGCGAGAGCAAGCGGACCUCAUAAAGUGCGUCGUAGUCCGGAUUGGAGUCUGCAACUCGACUCCAUGAAGUCGGAAUCGCUAGUAAUCGUGGAUCAGAAUGCCACGGUGAAUACGUUCCCGGGCCUUGUACACACCGCCCGUCACACCAUGGGAGUGGGUUGCAAAAGAAGUAGGUAGCUUAACCUUCGGGAGGGCGCUUACCACUUUGUGAUUCAUGACUGGGGUGAAGUCGUAACAAGGUAACCGUAGGGGAACCUGCGGUUGGAUCACCUCCUUACCUUAAAGAA